GCUUUGUAUUCCUUACCAGGAUAAUUCACUACUUCAAACUUUAUAUUUAAUUGAUCAAUUUUGAGCGUCUGUAUCAAUGUCAGCUCCAUGUGUGUCCACAGCUCUCUGUAAAGCUAUGGUGGCUGUUUUGGUCCAAGCACAGAGCCUUUCAGACUGGGAAAUCUCAGAUCCCAGCCCAACCUGAAAGAUGGGUCAGAGUGCACUUCCUGUUCCAGUCAAAGGAUUACAAGUCUAAACUUCUACAAACAAGUUUUCCAUGAGUUUCUUCAGAAGGAGCAGCACACAGACUUCAUUUAUAGAUGACACUCAAACGUUGAAAACUGCACCAGAAGACUGGCAGAUAUUUGAGACCAUCGAUCAGGAGGGAGGGGAGUUAGCCUUUUAACUGCCAGGUGAUGUCUUUGUGAAGACUCCCAACGUUCAGUAAAACCUUUUUCCUCUGAA
Molecule: long non-coding RNA, 444 nt
Organism: Oryzias melastigma (Indian medaka)
Lineage: Eukaryota; Metazoa; Chordata; Actinopteri; Beloniformes; Adrianichthyidae
Exons: 4
Source: RefSeq, a predicted model, not a curated record